GACGAACGCUGGCGGCGUGCUUAACACAUGCAAGUCGAACGGAAAGGCCCUUCGGGGUACUCGAUUGGCAACCGGGUGAGUAACCCGUGGUUGAUCUGCCCUGCCCUUUGGGUUAAGCCUGGGAAACUGGGCCUAAUACCGAAUGGGACCCCGCCCUUCAUGUGGUGUGUUGGAAAGCUUUUGCGGUGUGGGAUGGGCCCGCGGCCUAUCAGCUUGUUGGUGGGGUAAUGGCCUACCAAGGCGACGACGGGUAGCCGGCCUGAGAGGGUGACCGGCCACACUGGGACUGAGAUACGGCCCAGACUCCUACGGGAGGCAGCAGUGGGGAAUAUUGCACAAUGGGCGCAAGCCUGAUGCAGCGACGCCGCGUGAGGGAUGACGGCCUUCGGGUUGUAAACCUCUUUCAAUAGGGACGAAGCGCAAGUGACGGUACCUAUAGAAGAAGCACCGGCCAACUACGUG
Molecule: ribosomal RNA, 462 nt
Filed under: uncultured bacterium
Lineage: Bacteria
Description: partial 16S ribosomal RNA
Rfam family: Bacterial small subunit ribosomal RNA
Source: RNAcentral